Long non-coding RNA from Dermacentor silvarum, 1177 nucleotides. RefSeq lists it as uncharacterized. The record is from RefSeq and is a predicted model, not a curated record. The transcript is spliced from 3 exons. NCBI's taxonomy places the organism in Eukaryota, Metazoa, Arthropoda, Arachnida, Ixodida, Ixodidae.
UGACAAAAAUAAACGGAAACAUCGAAGGAAAGCUACCACUCCGCAAUGCAAGCGCAAGGCAAGCUCACAGUCCAGACCGAACAGGCAACACUGACACAUACUCUCCACGCCAGACCGUCGGAAGCGCCCUCGUGAAAACGUUUAUAUAGACCGUUUUUUCGUGGGCGCCACCAUAUUGUGAACGCAGUGGCGCCGCCUAUGAGCAGGCGCCAUGCUGGCUUGCGUGAAAGCGUUGUUUUGCAUGGCAGGUAUACGUGCUGAUACAGUUGCGAGCGUUUUUUUCCGUAUUGGCGGGCUGUAUUUCGCAUGACUUGCUAUGUUCUACAUCGGAAGUGAAUCUGUGAGAUGUGCUGAGUUGAUUUAAGCAGAUGUGGCCGGAGUUUCUGCUGCCGGUGAGGCAGACGUGCACCCGAUCUGAUAUGCGCGCCGGUGUUGGAGCCUACAAUCAGCCUCGGAAAUGACAAGUGUUACCAGCACCCAAGUGUGAUUGUCAGCUGGUGUGAUGAUUUGAAGAAGUGGCCGCAGGUACAAAUGCCACACAUAAUUCACUACCUGCUCACAAACAAGGCAUGUGACUUGCGAGAAGUCAAUUCGUUCAGGAGUAUGAAGUCUUACACUUAUCUACAAAGUGGAUGGGUAGGGAGAGUGCUCCUGCAUGAGAUUGAUGACACGGUUGUGCUCCUGAAGUGUCAAGUGCAGGCGUCACAAUCAAUUAAAACACACCACAAUGCAUGGGUGUGCUGCCAGCGUAGUGGAGAAGUCAAGAACAGUGGAUGUACGUGCAUGGCUGGGAGAGGAAAAGUGUGCAGUCAUAUCGGUGCACUUCUUUGGAAAUUGGACUUGGCGAUGUCACAAAGCAUGACAGGAGAAGGUUGCACUGACAAAUCAGCAACCUGGAACAGUGGAACAAAGAGGAACCUUGAACCAGCCGCUCUGACAGACAUAAACUUCAAGGUACAGAUGAGAACCAUUCAUAAAAAAAACGAUUCCAUCUUUGCCACAACUCCUCGGCAAUGAUACUGACAUCCAGGAGUUCUACAGAAACUGUCCAUUCCAAGAAAUUGUCAAUGUUACUGGUACCCUGCUUCAUGCGACUGUGACAGCUCCAUUUCGACGACUUCAGCCACAGCAAACCACGCCUGACAUCCAGCACAGCCCUCACGACAGUGUUGAUACC